This 253-nucleotide ribosomal RNA is filed under the name uncultured bacterium. RNAcentral describes it as "partial 16S ribosomal RNA". It matches the Rfam family "Bacterial small subunit ribosomal RNA", at positions 524 to 776 of the family's 1533-position model. The record is from RNAcentral.
UACGUAGGGUGCAAGCGUUGUCCGGAAUUAUUAGGCGUAAAGAGCUCGUAGGCGGUCUGUCGCGUCUGCUGUGAAAACCUAGGGCUUAACUCUGGGCGUGCAGUGGGUACGGGCAGGCUAGAGUGCGGUAGGGGAGACUGGAAUUCCUGGUGUAGCGGUGAAAUGCGCAGAUAUCAGGAGGAACACCGGUGGCGAAGGCGGGUCUCUGGGCCGAUACUGACGCUGAGGAGCGAAAGCGUGGGGAGCGAACAGG